GAUGAACGCUGGCGGCGUGCCUAAUACAUGCAAGUCGAGCGAACAGACGAGGAGCUUGCUCCUCUGACGUUAGCGGCGGACGGGUGAGUAACACGUGGAUAACCUACCUAUAAGACUGGGAUAACUUCGGGAAACCGGAGCUAAUACCGGAUAAUAUAUUGAACCGCAUGGUUCAAUAGUGAAAGACGGUUUUGCUGUCACUUAUAGAUGGAUCCGCGCCGCAUUAGCUAGUUGGUAGGUAACGGCUUACCAAGGCGACGAUGCGUAGCCGACCUGAGAGGGGGAGAGGCCACACGGGAAAGGAGACACGGUCAAGACUCAGACGGGAGGCAGAAGUAGGGAAUCUUCAGAAAGGGGCGAAAGCCUGAAGGAGAAACGCCGCGGGAGGGAGGAAGGUCUUCGGAUAGAAAAACUUUGUUAUUAGGGAAAAAAAAAGGGGUAAGAAAAUAUGCACGUCUUGACGGUACCUAAUAAGAAAGCCACGGAUAACUACGGG
Molecule: ribosomal RNA, 496 nt
Filed under: uncultured bacterium
Lineage: Bacteria
Description: partial 16S ribosomal RNA
Rfam family: Bacterial small subunit ribosomal RNA
Source: RNAcentral